Molecule: transfer RNA, 73 nt
Filed under: Candidatus Gastranaerophilales bacterium
Lineage: Bacteria; Bacillati; Candidatus Melainabacteria; Candidatus Gastranaerophilales
Description: tRNA-Thr
Rfam family: tRNA
About the family: Transfer RNA (tRNA) molecules are approximately 80 nucleotides in length.
Source: RNAcentral
GCCAGCGUAGCUCAGUCGGUAGAGCAACGGUUUCGUAAACCGUAGGUCAGGGGUUCAAAUCCCCUCGCUGGCU